AGAACGAACGUUGGCGGCGUGGAUUAGGCAUGCAAGUCGAACGAAUCCCAUUGGUGUAGCAAUACAUUGGUGGGGGAAGUGGCGAAAGGGGCAGUAAUGCAUGGGUAACCUACCUUGGGGAUGGGCAUAGCCGUUCUAACGAACGGGUAAUACCCAGCGAUUCGGCGGAAAGGCAUCUUUCUGCCGGGAAAUGAGUUUCGCCUCGAGAGGGGCCCAUGUCGUAUUAGCUAGUUGGUGGGGUAACGGCCUACCAAGGCGAAGAUGCGUAGCGGGUGUGAGAGCACGACCCGCGCCACUGGCACUGAGACACUGGCCAGACACCUACGGGUGGCUGCAGUCGAGGAUCUUCGUCAAUGGGCGAAAGCCUGAACGAGCGACGCCGCGUGCGCGAUGAAGGCCUUCGGGUUGUAAAGCGCGAAGUGGGGAUAAAGCGAAAGUUUGAUUGAUCCACAGUAAGGACGGGCUAAGUUCGCGCCAGCAGCCGCGGU
Molecule: ribosomal RNA, 488 nt
Filed under: uncultured bacterium
Lineage: Bacteria
Description: SSU rRNA
Rfam family: Bacterial small subunit ribosomal RNA
Source: RNAcentral